GACGAACGCUGGCGGCGUGCUUAACACAUGCAAGUCGAACGGAAAGGCCCUGCUUUUGUGGGGUGCUCGAGUGGCGAACGGGUGAGUAACACGUGAGUAACCUGCCCUUGACUUUGGGAUAACUUCAGGAAACUGGGGCUAAUACCGGAUAGGAGCUCCUGCUGCAUGGUGGGGGUUGGAAAGUUUCGGCGGUUGGGGAUGGACUCGCGGCUUAUCAGCUUGUUGGUGGGGUAGUGGCUUACCAAGGCUUUGACGGGUAGCCGGCCUGGGAGGGUGACCGGCCACCUUGCUCCUGCGAUACGCAGCAGUCUCCUACGUUCCGCAGCAGUGGGGAAUAUUGCACAGUGGGCGCACGCCUGAGGCAGCAAUGCCGCGUUCGUGAUGACGUCUUUCGGGUGGUAAACCUAUUUCUCCUGUGACGAAGCCUGCUUGACGGUACUUGGUAAAGAAGCCCCGGCUAACUACGUG
RNAcentral lists this ribosomal RNA (468 nucleotides) under uncultured bacterium. Its description in RNAcentral is "partial 16S ribosomal RNA". It matches the Rfam family "Bacterial small subunit ribosomal RNA", at positions 28 to 507 of the family's 1533-position model. The record is from RNAcentral.